This 620-nucleotide ribosomal RNA is filed under the name Cylindrospermum stagnale AUS-JR/MT/NT-039. Its description in RNAcentral is "partial 16S ribosomal RNA". It matches the Rfam family "Bacterial small subunit ribosomal RNA", at positions 139 to 788 of the family's 1533-position model. The record is from RNAcentral. Lineage: Bacteria; Bacillati; Cyanobacteriota; Cyanophyceae; Nostocales; Nostocaceae.
CAGACGACACUGGGACCGGUGGCUAUACCGGAUGUGCCGAAGAGGUGAAAGAUUUAUUGCCUGAAGAUGAGCUCGCGUCUGAUUAGCUAGUUGGGGGGGUAAAAGCCUACCAAGGCGACGAUCAGUAGCUGGUCUGAGAGGAUGAUCACCCACACUGGAACUGAAACACGGCCCAAACUCCUACGGGAGGCAGCAGGGGGGAAUUUUCCGCAAUGGGCGAAAGCCUGACGGAGCAAUACCGCGGGAGGGAGGAAGGCUCUUGGAUUGUAAACCUCUUUUCUCAGGGAAUAAAAAAUGGAGGGUACCGGAGAAAUAACCAUCGGUUACCUCCGGGCCACCACCCGGGGAAAUAGGGAGGAGGCAAGCGUUAUCCGAAAUGUUUGGGCGUAAAGCGCCCGCGGGGGGCUAUGUAAGUCUGCUGUAAAAGAGGCUACCUCACCUAAAUAAGAGCAGGGGAAACUACAUGGUUAGAGUGCGUUCGGGGCAAAGGAUAUUCCCUGGUGUAGCGGUGAUAUGCGUAGAGUUCAGAAAAAAACACCGGGGGGCGAAAGCGCUCUAGCUGAGACCGCAACUGACACUGAGGGACGAAAGCUAUGGGAGCGAAUGGGAUUAGAUACCCC